RNAcentral lists this ribosomal RNA (1173 nucleotides) under Salmonella enterica subsp. enterica serovar Typhimurium str. SL1344. RNAcentral's name for it is "partial 23S ribosomal RNA". It matches the Rfam family "Bacterial large subunit ribosomal RNA", at positions 584 to 1757 of the family's 2925-position model. Lineage: Bacteria; Pseudomonadati; Pseudomonadota; Gammaproteobacteria; Enterobacterales; Enterobacteriaceae. The record is from RNAcentral.
AGUGGUGGGGUGACUGCGUACCUUUUGUAUAAUGGGUCAGCGACUUAUAUUCUGUAGCAAGGUUAACCGAAUAGGGGAGCCGGAGGGAAACCGAGUCUUAAUUGGGCGUUAAGUUGCAGGGUAUAGACCCGAAACCCGGUGAUCUAGCCAUGGGCAGGUUGAAGGUUGGGUAACACUAACUGGAGGACCGAACCGACUAAUGUUGAAAAAUUAGCGGAUGACCUGUGGCUGGGGGUGAAAGGCCAAUCAAACCGGGAGAUAGCUGGUUCUCCCCGAAAGCUAUUUAGGUAGCGCCUCGUGAAUUCAUCUCCGGGGGUAGAGCACUGUUUCGGCUAGGGGGCCAUCCCGGCUUACCAACCCGAUGCAAACUGCGAAUACCGGAGAAUGUUAUCACGGGAGACACACGGCGGGUGCUAACGUCCGUCGUGAAGAGGGAAACAACCCAGACCGCCAGCUAAGGUCCCAAAGUCAUGGUUAAGUGGGAAACGAUGUGGGAAGGCCCAGACAGCCAGGAUGUUGGCUUAGAAGCAGCCAUCAUUUAAAGAAAGCGUAAUAGCUCACUGGUCGAGUCGGCCUGCGCGGAAGAUGUAACGGGGCUAAACCAUGCACCGAAGCUGCGGCAGCGACGCUGAUGCGUUGUUGGGUAGGGGAGCGUUCUGUAAGCCUGCGAAGGUGUGUCGUGAGGCAUGCUGGAGGUAUCAGAAGUGCGAAUGCUGACAUAAGUAACGAUAAAGCGGGUGAAAAGCCCGCUCGCCGGAAGACCAAGGGUUCCUGUCCAACGUUAAUCGGGGCAGGGUGAGUCGACCCCUAAGGCGAGGCCGAAAGGCGUAGUCGAUGGGAAACGGGUUAAUAUUCCCGUACUUGGUGUUACUGCGAAGGGGGGACGGAGAAGGCUAUGUUGGCCGGGCGACGGUUGUCCCGGUUUAAGCGUGUAGGUGUGUGUUCCAGGUAAAUCCGGUUCACUUUAACACUGAGGCGUGAUGACGAGGCACUACGGUGCUGAAGCAACAAAUGCCCUGCUUCCAGGAAAAGCCUCUAAGCAUCAGGUAACAUCAAAUCGUACCCCAAACCGACACAGGUGGUCAGGUAGAGAAUACCAAGGCGCUUGAGAGAACUCGGGUGAAGGAACUAGGCAAAAUGGUGCCGUAACUUCGGGAGAAGGCACGCUGACAC